CAGACUGCAGGAGCGGGGACCGUCAGAGGACAGGAGAGACGACACAAAGGGGUUUGGAGAGACUCCACGCCAGAAGCAAUAUAUACAGCAAAGCACCGCCAAUGUGCAAAAGAGAGAUGAGCGGCGACUUUUAUUCACGUCUUUCAGACGUGGAUCUGCUGUCCAGGUCCGAAGGUGACUCGUUGGCUGGGCCAGAGGCUGCAACACAGGACAUGGGUCCUGCCUCUUCCUACCACUCGUGUCUUGUGUUGCAGCCAGUGGAGCUGCCUGCUUUGACUGUCUGCUGCUCUGUCUGCCCUACUGAUGAUGGAUUGAGUCUCUGGAACAUAGGAAUCCUGUCAAGUCUCAGACGUUAUGACCAGAAUCCUCACUUUGCAGCUGCCCCUGUGUCAAAUUACAGUCAUUUGUUGGAUUUUUGAAGAGUGCCUUAAAAGUACAUUUGUUUUCAUGUACUUUUCAUGUAUGUUUUUUUGGCAAUUUAAAUCAAACAUGUUCCCUACAGCUUUUGGCAUUACUGAUAAAUAAAUGAAAUGAGUCGACAUGUAAAACAUUUUGUCAUGAAGUUAAUGUUUUAAUGAAAAAUGUUUCCAACUUUUCAUUAUUUUAAUUUGAUUUAUUUAUUUGAAAUAUGUCUUGACAUGUUUAUUGCUGCUGUCCUUUUUGGUACUAGCCAUAAAGAUCUAAAGUUAUUAAAACCAACACAAAAAAGACCUUGUGAUCAUUUUGAAAAAUUUAAUCAUAUCAUGCUGUCCUGAUGCUGUGGACUCUGUAUUGUGGUUCUUAAAUUCAUUCAUUUCUUUAAUUUUUUUGUUAUUCAAUAAAAGGAUAUUUUCACCAUGAGA
Molecule: long non-coding RNA, 842 nt
Organism: Poeciliopsis prolifica (blackstripe livebearer)
Lineage: Eukaryota; Metazoa; Chordata; Actinopteri; Cyprinodontiformes; Poeciliidae
Exons: 2
Source: RefSeq, a predicted model, not a curated record